This is a long non-coding RNA of Mercenaria mercenaria, 693 nucleotides long. RefSeq lists it as uncharacterized. Lineage: Eukaryota; Metazoa; Mollusca; Bivalvia; Venerida; Veneridae. The record is from RefSeq and is a predicted model, not a curated record. The transcript is spliced from 2 exons.
UCCUGUUCACGAAGGCAUAGCGGAUGUGGAUAAUGUUUCUUCUAUAAAUGUAGUUAGAUUGACUGCUGUCGAUAUGUGCACUAAAUGAGAAAAUGUGAUAUUUGUUAACCUACCUGGCAAUUCAUUACAGUGACAGUUUUUUCUGGGCUCUGGAAUCUUCAAAUUUAGUGCAAGAAGACUAACAGAACAGACCUUUUUACUGUUAUCGGAUAGAUCCAUAACUACCGAUAUUUGGAAGUGGAGCCAAUAACCAAAACAUUGAUAGAGUGGUCUUUGAAGUGGUCGAGGAUGGGCUGAAACAUUCUUUUACAGUAAAUGUAGCGAUGUUCAGGUUCCCCGUAAUAUUCUAAACGGACACAAACGGUAACUGCGUAUUUGAUGUACAGUUAAAGGGAAGUAAUUAAAAUAAGAAAUUUACAUACUUUCUCUGUACAUCGGUUUAAACCAGUCCUAUUACUUUGGAACAUGCAGCGGAUUAAGAGUGAGGUAUGGUGCACCAUCAACUAGAGACUGAUGCUAAUCUAUACAAGCCAUGCUAAAUGAACUGUGGUGUGACAGCAGUAAUACCGGUGCAAAUCACUGAAUAGAUGAAAGAGCAUGUAAUUUAAUUGUAAUACAAUGACAUUUGUGUGAUACAACUUAUUUCAUGAUGGUAAUAAACAAAGGGAAGUAAGUAAAAUUUGAAUAAUUGUA